UAAAAAGCAAUGAUGAAGAAUAGUAAAAAUCGCACUUUCAGAGAGAAAAUCCAUGGCUGUAAGAUUUUCAAUAGAUUUUGAACCAGCUUCGGAGCAAUAGGCAAAAACUAUCGGUUUAAUACCGUUAUCAUUAUUAGAGAAUCAAUUUAGGUGGUACCGCGAUUAAUAAUUCGCCCUAAUA
RNAcentral lists this non-coding RNA (181 nucleotides) under Clostridium paraputrificum. RNAcentral describes it as "T-box sequence". It matches the Rfam family "T-box leader". From Rfam's summary of the family: Uncharged tRNA acts as the effector for transcription antitermination of genes in the T-box leader family. T-boxes are found upstream of many aminoacyl-tRNA synthetase genes and some amino acid biosynthetic genes usually in Gram-positive bacteria. The record is from RNAcentral. Lineage: Bacteria; Bacillati; Bacillota; Clostridia; Eubacteriales; Clostridiaceae.